CCUUACCUACCCUUGACAUGUACGGAACGGGGCAGAGACGUCCCAGUGCCCGAAAGGGAACCGUAACACAGGUGCUGCAUGGCUGUCGUCAGCUCGUGUCGUGAGAUGUUGGGUUAAGUCCCGCAACGAGCGCAACCCUUACCAUUAGUUGCUACAUUCAGUUGGGCACUCUAAUGGGACUGCCGGUGACAAACCGGAGGAAGGUGGGGAUGACGUCAAGUCCUCAUGGCCCUUAUGGGUAGGGCUUCACACGUAAUACAAUGGCCGGUACAGAGGGUUGCCAACCCGCGAGGGGGAGCCAAUCCCAGAAAGCCGGUCGUAGUCCGGAUUGUUCUCUGCAACUCGAGAGCAUGAAGUCGGAAUCGCUAGUAAUCGCGGAUCAGCACGCCGCGGUGAAUACGUUCCCGGGUCUUGUACACACCGCCCGUCACACCAUGGGAGUGGGUUUCACCAGAAGCAGCUAGCCUAACCGCAAGGAGGGCGGCUUCCACGGUGAGAUUCAUGACUGGGGUGAAGUCGUAACAAGGUAGGCGUAGAUGA
This 540-nucleotide ribosomal RNA is filed under the name uncultured bacterium. Its description in RNAcentral is "bacterial SSU rRNA". It matches the Rfam family "Bacterial small subunit ribosomal RNA", at positions 969 to 1509 of the family's 1533-position model. The record is from RNAcentral.